RNAcentral lists this unclassified non-coding RNA (257 nucleotides) under Glomeraceae sp. RNAcentral's name for it is "partial contains 5.8S ribosomal RNA and internal transcribed spacer 2". The stretch from base 1 to 71 matches the Rfam family "5.8S ribosomal RNA", at positions 84 to 154 of the family's 154-position model. Lineage: Eukaryota; Fungi; Glomeromycota; Glomeromycetes; Glomerales; Glomeraceae. The record is from RNAcentral.
GUGAAUCAUCAAAUCUUUGAACGCAUAUUGCACUUUCUGGUAUUCCGGAGAGUAUGCCUGUUUGAGGGUCAGUUAAAUAAAAAAAGGUGUUGUUGUUUUUUGUAGCGAUGUUGCAUCGGAAUUGAGUUGUGUUUAGCUUUUUUGGUUAGGGUGUUUUAAUAUUAUGUAUGAUUUUUUGAAAGUAUUUAAAUUGUUUACGUAUGUUCAUAAUGUCAUAUAUAUUAGUUGCGAUCAUCCUGAUGAUGUCGCGUCUAUAA